Molecule: ribosomal RNA, 254 nt
Filed under: uncultured bacterium
Lineage: Bacteria
Description: partial 16S ribosomal RNA
Rfam family: Bacterial small subunit ribosomal RNA
Source: RNAcentral
UACGUAGGCAGCGAGCGUUGUUCGGAAUUACUGGGCGUAAAGAGUGUGUAGGCGGUGCUCUAAGUUCGGUGUGAAAUCUCCCGCUUAACUGGGAGGGUGCGCCGGAAACUGGAGUGCUCGAACGUGGGGAGAGGAAAGCGGAAUUCCUGGUGUAGCGGUGAAAUGCGUAGAUAUCAGGAGGAACACCUGCGGUGUAGACGGCUUUUCUGGACCAUUGUUGACGCUGAGACACGAAAAGCGUGGGGUAGCAAAAC